Molecule: long non-coding RNA, 1964 nt
Organism: Cavia porcellus (domestic guinea pig)
Lineage: Eukaryota; Metazoa; Chordata; Mammalia; Rodentia; Caviidae
Exons: 3
Source: RefSeq, a predicted model, not a curated record
CAGCAGUGGCACAACACUUGGAAGAGAGUCCUCUAAGUAAUUUUCCCUCAAAAUGAUCUUUGCUCCCCUUAGAAUCACAGACUAAAGCCAGGUAUGGUGGUGCACACUUGUAAUCACAGCACUUGAGAGGCUGAGGCAAGAGGGUCCUGCAUUCAAGGCCAGCCACAGCUACACAGUGUUUGAGCCCAGUUGAACUACAGAGCAAGACCCUGUCUCUACAAAGAAAAGAAAAGUGAGAAGCAAACAAACCAAAAAGCAUGUUAAAAAUGCAGUUUAAAAAAGAAUCACAGAAUGUCUGUUGGAAAAGACCUUGGACUCAUCCCUGCACUGAAGGACACCAAGGCCUAUAUAAUAUAAGUAAUUUGGAUCUGACAGACAGGCAGCUGUUUGAGCGGAAUAAGUCUGUCAUCCCUGAUAGCUGGCUUUCUGUGUUGUCUUUGAACUUCAGUGUCUCUCCCAGGAUGUAAGCCUUCUGCACUGGGGAUGCUCCUUCUAAUCCAAGCCUCCUUCGCAAUGAAGCAGCCACAGCCUAAGGCAGGGCGGUGUGGCUGCUCCUCCACCCAGAGCUCUGUAGCUUUGGAUGUCACAUGUGAAAAACAGGAGAAUUGCAUCCAGGUCUCCUGUAUGCCAGAGGCUGUUCUUAAUUGAAAACCACCCAAGUGAGAUAGAUGGUCAGAAGAGUGAGUAGCAAGCUCACAUGAGUUCCUGGACUGUGGAUGUGACCUACAAGUGUUACUGAGUAACCAUUCUGAAAUGGAUACUUAGCAAUUAUUAACCAGCAGCUCCUGUUUCUGGUCUUUCUAUAAACAGCAAUUCCUAAAUCCAGGGUCCAUCAUUCUCAACCCUUGUCUUACAUCCCAGGGAGGCAUUCAAGAUGGGUGUUCCUCCUAAGGGAAAGAAACAACAAAAAGAGUGCAUCCCUUGGUUUAGAGAUGCUUUCUGGGAGUUUAACAUCCACUCCCAACUGGAGCACAGCGCUACGAACAGUGCUUUCUGCCUGACAGUGUUGGUCUGAGACCGUGCUCAUUUGCAGUGUAACAGAGUUGACGUUUUUCUCUUCAUCUCCGUCAUCAAGGUUGUCUUACAUUCUUGUGCAGCGAAUGGUUGCCCAAGUUCUGAGUUCCAUUCCAGGAUUCCUCCGUCCCCUAAAUCAUUUAUAAAUUUGUAGACAUGACAAUUCACUUUCUGGGAAGGGCAGGGUACUGGGGAUUGAAGCAAAGGCCCUCACAAUAAGUUACAUCCUCAGUGCCCAUGCUCUCUCUUUCUCUCCUUCCCCCUUUUUCUUUCAUUUCUCCCAUUUUUUUUAAACAAGGCCAGGCUGGGCUUCAAAUUGUGAUCUUCCUGCCUUGGCUUCCCAAAGUACCGGCACUGCAGGUAUGACCACCAUAAAAGAGCCACUCUUCACUAUAAAAUGCUGAGUUUUGUCACAAGUCAUUCCUAAUAUUAAUAAAACAUAUCAUUUAAACAUGAUUUUAAUAAUUCAUAUUUAUUAGUUUAAUAUCAAUUCAAUGCAAACAUCAGCAAAUACUUAGCCCGAGGUGGUUCUACUGUUAAGAAGCACUAGGAUUCACACUCAGGUCUCCAGAACCUUGUUUCCUUCCACUGUACCCUUUUCUACCUUCAAGAAACCUAAAUUCUGACUCUUCUCAUGCAAGGGGAAAUGUUACAUUUCCCUUUGCAGGAACGCUUGUUCUUUCCUAUAUAUUAUCAUGAAUUUCCAGGCAUCAGGCCAUAUUUGGAACGUGAACAUGGGUUUAUUCCUAAAAUUGCCAGCUGGCAAUAGAUGAAAAUAGUACCUGAAUAAUUGGUUUACUGAUGACAGAUCAAUAAAGGGACACAGACUAUGACAGGUAUGGCUGGGUCUUGAUGAAGGGCAAGUGCAAAUGCUCAUUUUACUCCCCAUAGCUGUCUCUUCUUGUGUGAAAAUCUAGACCAGUCAGUGCCCGUCUGCUGAUAGCUCAGCC